RNAcentral lists this ribosomal RNA (788 nucleotides) under Pantoea agglomerans. RNAcentral describes it as "bacterial SSU rRNA". It matches the Rfam family "Bacterial small subunit ribosomal RNA", at positions 68 to 858 of the family's 1533-position model. Lineage: Bacteria; Pseudomonadati; Pseudomonadota; Gammaproteobacteria; Enterobacterales; Erwiniaceae. The record is from RNAcentral.
UGCACAGAGAGCUUGGUCUCGGGUGACGAGUGGCGGACGGGUGAGUAAUGUCUGGGGAUCUGCCCGAUAGAGGGGGAUAACCCCUGGGAACGGUGGCUAAUACCGCACAACGUCGCACGACCAAAGAGGGGGACCUUCGGGCCUCUCACUAUCGGAUGAACCCCCAUGGGAUUAUCUCGUAUGCGGGGUAAUGGCCCACCUAGGCGACAAUACCUAGCUGGUCUGAGAGGAUGACCACCCACACUGGAACUGAGACACGGUCCACACUCCUACGGGAGGCAGCAGUGGGGAAUAUUGCACAAUGGGCGCAAGCCUGAUGCACCCCUGCCGCGUGUAUAAAAAAGCCUUCUGGUUGUAAAGUACUUUCUCCGGGGAGGAAGGCGACGGGGUUAAUAACCCUGUCGAUUGACGUUACCCGCACAAAAAACACCGGCUAAAUCCCUGCCACCACCCGCGGUAAUACAGAGGGUGCGAGCGUUAAUCGCAAUUACUGGGCGUAAAGCGCACGCACGCGGUCUGUUAAAUCACAUGUGAAAUCCCCGGGCUUAACCUGGGAACUGCAUUUGAAACUGGCAGGCUUGAGUCUUGUAGAGGGGGGUAUAAUUCCCCGUGUAUCGGUGAAAUGCGUAAAGAUCUGGAGGAAUAACCGUGGCGAAAGCGGCCCCCUGUCAAAAACUGAGCCUCAGUGCGAAACGUGUGGAGCAACAGGAUAAAUACCCUGGUAUUCCACGCCGCUAACAAGUCAAUUGUAAGUUGUUCCCCUUAAGAAUGGUUCUCGGAACUAACCU